Molecule: non-coding RNA, 2037 nt
Organism: Equus caballus (horse)
Lineage: Eukaryota; Metazoa; Chordata; Mammalia; Perissodactyla; Equidae
Source: RefSeq, a predicted model, not a curated record
AUGUUAGCUCAGGGUCAAUCUUCCUCACCAAAAAAAUAAAUAAUAUCCAUGCGUUCAUGCUGACAUGAAUAAAUGAAUGAAUAAAUAAGUAUGGGAGAAGAGUCAAAUUUUCCUUACAGAGGAAUUUCAAAUUGUAUGGACAUUUCCUCCAGGAGGUGGAGUUUAUUCACUUCCCCCUUAAGUGUGGGCUGAACUCAGGAAUAGAGUAUGGAAAGGAAAAAUAGUCACUUUUCGGUGGAGAAACCUGGCACGUACUAGCUUGGCUAGGUGAUCAAGGUGAACAGUCAUGUUGAUAGCAUGUUCCCCUGAUUCCAUGUAAUGACAGGGCCACCUCACCUCUGUGGUCUUAAAACCCAUAACCCCAUCUAUUCAUGAGAAGAAAACCAGACAAACCCAGAUUGAGGGACACUCUGCAAAAUACCUGACCAACACUCAUCAAAACCGUCAAGAUCGUGAAAAACAAGCGAAGACCGAGAAGACGAGGGGAACGUGAACCAGCACCUUAAACACUGUGCUCUGAACCCAACCAGCACCACCUCAAGAGCAGACUGCAGCUGAGGUGUCGGCCAGGGCUGUGGCCGUCUCUGGUGAGACCCUCCAAGCUCACCCAGGGGGACCUCUCCACGGGGCUGCCUCGUGACACGGCAGCUGAUCUCCACUGGAAGCAGGAAGUCCGAGAAAGAGUGAGAGAACACCCAAGACAGAAGCAGGAAGUCAGAGAAAGAGUGAGAGUAAUGCCCAAGACGGAAGCCACAGUCUUUUUAAAAUCUUAUCUCACAAGUGACAUCCCAUUGCGUCUGUCAUAUUCUAUUCAUUAGAAGCAAGUCAACAAAUCCAGCCCAAUCCAGCCCAUACUCCAGGGGAGGAGAUCACACAAGGGUGUGAAUUCCAGGAGGUAUCAUUGGGGGCCAUCUUAGAGGCUGCCUAUGACAGCUUUUUUUUUUUUAACAUAUACAGAGAAGAAGUCUGUACUUUGUUACUUCUACUUUAUGUUUUACCUUUAAAUAAUAAAAUUCCUCUAUUAGAUCCAGGUUAAAAGAAAAAAUCUUCCAUUACAUUUCUUGUCACUAAUUUAACUCUUUCAUGUAUCAGAGUAAUAAGUACGGGGCUGUUCUUUGUCCUUCCUGAAGGCUGCCAGGGGCCCUCUCAGGUUUUACAACCAGCAUAUGUUCGGCUUUUUAGAAUACAGGCAUAAUUACCUCCUCAGUCUCUCUCCCCUCUGAGCAGUAAAGGCCCAACUGCUUCUUAGGUUCCAGUCCCUCCAGAUCUUGCCUCCCUCCGUUUUGAGUGCCCUUUAAGGAGAAGCAAUAACCCACAGGGCCCCUGACAUUCCCAUCCUCCUGGAACCGCAGAGAAGACUUACCUUCAACCAACCAGCUUCUAGCUUCUCAGAAACUGUAGCUUCAAUUUGCAACAAAAGCUUUCAAAAUAUGCCUCCUUUUAUUGAAUGUAUUCCAUUUAUAGAAAUGUAUCCUAAGAAACUAAGCAAGGAUGUCCACAAAGAACGGGCCAAAAGAGUUUUCCAUUGCAAUAUUUUCUAUAACUGUGAAAAAAUUGGAAACUACGUAAAUGCCUAAUAAUAAGUGAUAGCUUGAAUAAAGUAUGCAAUGUCCAAAGGGAUGCAAACUCUGUACCCAUUAAACCAAAUUGUAUCCAGUGGAACCAUACAUGAUUGCUGUCUUAUAGGUCAACACUGGUUGAAUUUUGGUAAUAUCAUAUGGUUCAACCUAAUAGAAGGAUAUUUUUUGGUAUACAAAUAGGUUUAUAACCUACUCUUGAGCGAGGCAAGCAGAGUACAACAGUAUUUAUGGAACAGUCUCAUUUUUGUGUGGACAAAUACACAUAAAUAUAUUUGUAAAGCAAAAAGUCUGGAAAAGCAUACACCAAAAUGUUCACAGUAGUUAUCUUUAGGAGGAAGAAUUAUGGGCAAUUUUAUCUUUUUUUUUUUAAUGAAGUUUCUGCUUUUUUCCAAUGAAUACUUCCUAUUGGUGUAAAGUUGACAGGCUCUUAAAUAAAUAAAACACCGUAAGAGAUCAA